GACAGAGGCCUCAAGCGUUAGGCGGAAUCACUGGGCUUAAAGCGUGUGUAGGCGGAUCGUUAAGUGUCUUGUGAAAUCCCACGGCUCACCCAUGGAACUGCUGGGCAUACUGGCGAUCUUGGGCCAACUAGGGGCAACUGGAACAAGCGGUGGAGCGGUGAAAUGCGUAGAUAUCGCUUGGAACGCCAAAGGUGAAAACAGGU
This 203-nucleotide ribosomal RNA is filed under the name uncultured bacterium. RNAcentral's name for it is "partial 16S ribosomal RNA". It matches the Rfam family "Bacterial small subunit ribosomal RNA", at positions 524 to 726 of the family's 1533-position model. The record is from RNAcentral.